CUUGCUCUAGGAAGUUCCCUUAAAAAGCAAAGAACACACGCGCAACUUCCUUUCCUUCCCAAGCGUGGAAUGAGUUAGUUUCACGUGCUGCACGUUGCACCAGUGUAAUUAAGUUUAGCCAGAUGAAGAUGAUUGCUUCUGCCAAUGGAGAGGACCAUUGUAAAGAUCAGAGGAUUGUCAUUGGAAAAGGAUGACCUGACAGUUGCAGCUUAGUGAAGAUUGAUCAGAGGAUUGCCCCCUAGAAAAGGAUGAUCUGAGUUGCAGCUUAAUGAAUAUUGAUCAGAGGAUUGCCCCCUAGAAAAGGAUGAUCUGAGAGUUGCAGCUUAAUGAAUAUUGAUCAGAGGAUUGCCCCCUAGAAAAGGAUGAUCUGAGAGUUGUAGCUUAAUGAAUAUUGAUUGCCACUGGAAAGGGGUGAUGUGAGAAUUGCUGCUCAAUUAUAACUGGUGUGCAUAUAAUUCAAGAUCUGCUUGCGGAGUUCUUCCAAAGUAAGGUCUCGUCGGUGCAGGGAGUCCAGGUCAUGGAGAGCAUAGGGAAACACCGCAUUGGGUGGAAAAACAAGCGCAGAGGCCCCUGCAUUCCAAUGACAAAUUUGCUUACAUUUCUAAACCCUCAGUAUCGUGCACUGUAACAGGAGCUUGAUCUUAACUCUAAAUCAGUAAUGAGGUGCUGAAAGGUGAACAUGACUUUAGUUUUGUUCAAAUCUUCAAUUGAAAUAAAUUCUCAUUGCAAAAAUG
Molecule: long non-coding RNA, 734 nt
Organism: Myxocyprinus asiaticus (Chinese sucker)
Lineage: Eukaryota; Metazoa; Chordata; Actinopteri; Cypriniformes; Catostomidae
Exons: 8
Source: RefSeq, a predicted model, not a curated record